RNAcentral lists this ribosomal RNA (418 nucleotides) under Escherichia coli. RNAcentral describes it as "bacterial SSU rRNA". It matches the Rfam family "Bacterial small subunit ribosomal RNA", at positions 1128 to 1533 of the family's 1533-position model. The record is from RNAcentral. Lineage: Bacteria; Pseudomonadati; Pseudomonadota; Gammaproteobacteria; Enterobacterales; Enterobacteriaceae.
UGGCCGGGAACUCAAAGGAGACUGCCAGUGAUAAACUGGAGGAAGGUGGGGAUGACGUCAAGUCAUCAUGGCCCUUACGACCAGGGCUACACACGUGCUACAAUGGCGCAUACAAAGAGAAGCGACCUCGCGAGAGCAAGCGGACCUCAUAAAGUGCGUCGUAGUCCGGAUUGGAGUCUGCAACUCGACUCCAUGAAGUCGGAAUCGCUAGUAAUCGUGGAUCAGAAUGCCACGGUGAAUACGUUCCCGGGCCUUGUACACACCGCCCGUCACACCAUGGGAGUGGGUUGCAAAAGAAGUAGGUAGCUUAACCUUCGGGAGGGCGCUUACCACUUUGUGAUUCAUGACUGGGGUGAAGUCGUAACAAGGUAACCGUAGGGGAACCUGCGGUUGGAUCACCUCCUUACCUUAAAGAAGC